This 252-nucleotide ribosomal RNA is filed under the name uncultured bacterium. RNAcentral's name for it is "partial 16S ribosomal RNA". It matches the Rfam family "Bacterial small subunit ribosomal RNA", at positions 524 to 776 of the family's 1533-position model. The record is from RNAcentral.
UACGUAGGGUGCGAGCGUUGUCCGGAAUUAUUGGGCGUAAAGGGCUCGUAGGCGGUCUGUCGCGUCGGGAGUGAAAACUCAGGGCUUAACCCUGAGCCUGCUCCGAUACGGGCAGACUAGAGGUAUGCAGGGGAGAACGGAAUUCCUGGUGUAGCGGUGGAAUGCGCAGAUAUCAGGAGGAACACCAAUAGCGAAGGCAGCUCGCUGGGACGUUACUGACACUGAGGCGCGAAAGCGUGGGGAGCGAACAGG